Triticum dicoccoides is the source of this 1161-nucleotide long non-coding RNA. RefSeq lists it as uncharacterized. The record is from RefSeq and is a predicted model, not a curated record. Lineage: Eukaryota; Viridiplantae; Streptophyta; Magnoliopsida; Poales; Poaceae. The transcript has 6 exons.
CUACUAUUGUAGGUCAGCCAUGAUGUCACUUAGGUAAUUGACAUCAGCACGUACGUACUAUAGUCGGUUCAGUAGGCUAUAUAAAGGACCGAUGCCCGUCGCUGUAAGAUCAUUCCAUUCCAAUCAAAGCAAGGCAAUCAGCCUCAAGCAGUACUCCUCUUGGUGUGUGUGUAUGUGUCUUGUGUUGCACUAGUGAGUGCGUGUGUUACUAGUGAGUUGAGUGCAAGUACUACCGUUAGAUAGUCAGGACCCUCUGGUCUCAGUAGUUCUGGGCUAACAACGCGCCGGUGCCCAGGCGCCUUGCAUCCAUCUACAGCGAGGUGCAGACGAGCCGCAUCGCGCACACGCUGCCCCUCCCCUCCAUCCUCCGCUCCCACUUCACGCUCGCCGACGAGCCGGCCAGCACCGCCGCUAGAAGCCCCGAUGAGAUAGCCAAGCUGUUCUCCAGCCUGCACGGCCGCUGUCCACGGCCGUGCUGCCGUCGGCCGAGCCCGUCGCGACGAAGCCGCUCAAGAUCGGCAUCGUGCUUCCUGGUGGCCAGGUUCCAGGGGGACAAUGGAUCGACUUCUUUGUGUAACAGAUUACCUGCAGGAGGGUGCCAAAGGCAGCACCAUGUAUGGAUUAAGGGAGGCCCGCUGGUGUCAUGAAGGGCAACUACGUCGAGCUGACUGCUGAUUUCGUGUACCCCUACGGAAACCAGUACAAUGAGAACUGGUAAAUUCAAGGACUUUGGUUAUAACCAUUUGCAAAACUGGAAGUGGCUCAUCAGUAGAGAUUCUGUUGAGUCGUCAGAGAUUCAGAAUUCUUGCUGUAUCAUGGGUGCACUAUCAGAGAUGGUGAAUGCUUUAGACGCUCUAAGCUUUUUUUCCCCGGGGGAGGGGGCCUGAGAGGGGUUAGCUUCUAUUGGUUCCUCUGUUCACUUUUUUUUCUGACGAGAGGUUCUGCAAGUUCCCUCAGUGAAGCCUUAUGUCCAAGAAUAAAUUACCUACGUUUGAGUGCGAGUAAUGUACAACAGUUUGUAAUUUUUCAUUUGUAUUUUUUCCUCGAACAAGAAUUGGUGGUUGGUAUUCAGUUAUUUUUUAUAUGCCGACAAUGUUUUUUCUGCAUAUCGAUUAACUGUCCGUUUACAUAAAGAAAGAAGUUUGUGAUUCUCUGAGCCAA